This is a long non-coding RNA of Telopea speciosissima, 278 nucleotides long. RefSeq lists it as uncharacterized. NCBI's taxonomy places the organism in Eukaryota, Viridiplantae, Streptophyta, Magnoliopsida, Proteales, Proteaceae. The transcript is spliced from 3 exons. The record is from RefSeq and is a predicted model, not a curated record.
GAAGGUUUUGCACUGAAAGAUGAAAACUUGAAGUACCAUGGAGGUUCAACGUGCAUGAGUAUACACAAUCCCCCAGUCUCCGCUAAUCAAUACAGUGGAGCUUUUAUGUGGGUUCAAGGUGGACAAAACCAAGUACAAGUUGGAUGGCAUGUGAAUCCUAGGUUAUAUGGUGACAACAAGACCCAUUUUUUUGGAUAUUGGACUUCAGAUGACUCUCAAAAGACUGGCUGCUUCAAUGUUAUAUGCAAUGGUUUUGUCCAAGUUAGCAGAGAAAUACC